UUGUAGAGAGAGAGAGAGAGAGAGAGAGAGAGAGAGAGAGAGAGAGAGUUGUUGUUAGGUUUGGGUAGAAUGAGGUGGUGACUAAGUAAAAGUCUUAUUUGUCUUUAAAAUUUGAUAUGAAAAUUUCAAUUUACCCUUAAUUUUGGCAAAAAUUUAAUAGAAUUAACAAAAGGACGAGUAGUGCAACGCGAUAUCUAACGAAG
RNAcentral lists this long non-coding RNA (203 nucleotides) under Prunus persica (peach). RNAcentral's name for it is "long non-coding RNA (PPER_LNC005658)". Lineage: Eukaryota; Viridiplantae; Streptophyta; Magnoliopsida; Rosales; Rosaceae. The record is from RNAcentral.